Rattus norvegicus (Norway rat) is the source of this 602-nucleotide non-coding RNA. The record is from RefSeq and is a predicted model, not a curated record. NCBI's taxonomy places the organism in Eukaryota, Metazoa, Chordata, Mammalia, Rodentia, Muridae.
UCUGAGGACAAAGCUCUGGGCAAUGGAGACCGUGCAGGUGGAUGAGCAACCCAGAAAGGUGAAGAAGGAAGAAGAGAACUGUGUGGGUGCAGACAGUGUUACUGCCUGCUCCUGGACCGCUUCUCCACGCCUCGUAGUUGCCAGCCUUAAGUUGGGAUGAAUGGUACCAAAGGAUACAAGGAAAAUAUUAACGCUGACCAAGUCUUCAGGAGAACAGUGCCACUAGAUUCCAGGAAUCCCUUGAGAGGUUUACAAGGAACACAUGCUCUGAAUACACCAUUGUUCGUCCCUGGGAGCCAGUGGGUGAAGGGUGAUUUAUAGGAAAGGAGGAGAGCACUAAAGCAUGUCGACAACAUCAUUUAUUUUGGGUUCUUUGGUUGUCUUCACCAUCCUGAUCUGACGUGAGAUCUGCUAUCCUUGGAGGAAAAGAAUUUGAACUUGGAAAAUAUCCAGAGGGGGCAGGCUGGCAAUGCCUUUACUUUCUUUCCAGGACUGGUUCUUGUCCAUGGCCUCAGGCAUAGCUGUCUGUUUUCCCAUCUGUAAAGUGGGAUAAUAACUCUGCUCUGACAGAGGUAUCAUGGGAAUAAAAGUGUUCACCACAU